RNAcentral lists this ribosomal RNA (253 nucleotides) under uncultured bacterium. RNAcentral describes it as "partial 16S ribosomal RNA". It matches the Rfam family "Bacterial small subunit ribosomal RNA", at positions 524 to 776 of the family's 1533-position model. The record is from RNAcentral.
UACGGGGGGAGCAAGCGUUGUUCGGAAUCACUGGGCGUAAAGGGCGCGUAGGCGGCUUGUCAAGUCAGGGGUGAAAUCCUGCAGCUCAACUGUAGAAGUGCCUUUGAUACUGGCGAGCUCGAGGGAGGUAGGGGUGGGUGGAACUUCCGGUGGAGCGGUGAAAUGCGUUGAUAUCGGAAGGAACGCCGGUGGCGAAAGCGACCCACUGGAUCUCUACUGACGCUGAGGCGCGAAAGCCAGGGGAGCAAACGGG